RNAcentral lists this ribosomal RNA (497 nucleotides) under uncultured bacterium. RNAcentral describes it as "partial 16S ribosomal RNA". It matches the Rfam family "Bacterial small subunit ribosomal RNA", at positions 28 to 507 of the family's 1533-position model. The record is from RNAcentral.
GAUGAACGCUGGCGGCGUGCCUAAUACAUGCAAGUCGAGCGAACAGACGAGGAGCUUGCUCCUCUGACGUUAGCGGCGGACGGGUGAGUAACGCGUGGAUAACCUACCUAUAAGACUGGGAUAACUUCGGGAAACCGGAGCUAAUACCGGAUAAUAUAUUGAACCGCAUGGUUCAAUAGUGAAAGACGGUUUUGCUGUCACUUAUAGAUGGAUCCGCGCCGCAUUAGCUAGUUGGUAAGGUAACGGCUUACCAAGGCAACGAUGCGUAGCCGACCUGAGAGGGUGAUCGGCCACACUGGAACUGAGACACGGCCCAGACUCCUACGGGAGGCAGCAGUAGGGAAUCUUCCGCAAUGGGCGAAAGCCUGACGGAGCAACGCCGCGUGAGUGAUGAAGGUCUUCGGAUCGUAAAACUCUGUUAUUAGGGAAGAACAAAUGUGUAAGUAACUAUGCACGUCUUGACGGUACCUAAUCAGAAAGCCACGGCUAACUACGUG